GUGGCUACCUGCCCUUGGGACAAGAACAAUCCCGGGAAACUGGGGCUAAUACUUGAUAGAUGAGAAUUACUGGAAUGUAUUCUCGUUAAAAAGACUUGUAGAUCAUGCUUCUAUAAGUCGCCCAAGGAGGGGGCCGCGACCGAUCAGGUUGUUGGUGAGGUAAUGGCUCACCAAGCCUUUUACCGGUACGGGCCGUGAAAGCGGUAGCCCGGAGAUGGGCACUGAGAUAAGAGCCCAGGCCCUACGGGGCGCAGCAGUCGCGAAAACUCCGCAAUAUACGAAAGUGUGACGGGGCUAUCCCGAGUGCUAUCCGCUGAGGAUAGCUUUUACCCAGUAUAUAAAGCUGGGAGAAUAAGGAGAGGGCAAGUCUGGUGUCAGCCGCCGCGGUAAUACCAGCUCUCCGAGUGGUGGGGAUAAUUAUUGGGCUUAAAGCAUUCGUAGCUGGCCUGGCANGUCCUUUGUUAAAUCCACCGAUUCAAUCGUUGGGCUGCAAGGGAUACUGUCUGGCUNAGGGACGGGANAGGUCCACCGUAUUUCCUGGUAGAGUG
Molecule: ribosomal RNA, 548 nt
Filed under: uncultured archaeon
Lineage: Archaea
Description: bacterial SSU rRNA
Rfam family: Archaeal small subunit ribosomal RNA
Source: RNAcentral